Molecule: ribosomal RNA, 848 nt
Filed under: uncultured bacterium
Lineage: Bacteria
Description: bacterial SSU rRNA
Rfam family: Bacterial small subunit ribosomal RNA
Source: RNAcentral
GACGAACGCUGGCGGUGUGCUUCAUACAUGCAAGUCGAACGAGAAGCUGACUUCGGUCAGUGGAAAGUGGCGGACGGGUGAGUAAUAUGUAGGAAAUCUGCCUUAGAGCGGGGGACAACAGAGGGAAACUUCUGCUAAUACCCCAUAUGAGCUACCUUGUAAUAGGUAUCUUGAAAACUCCGGUGCUCUAAGAUGAGCCUGCAUCUGAUUAGCUUGUUGGUGGGGUAGUGGCCUACCAAGGCGACGAUCAGUAGCUGGUUUGAGAGGAUGAUCAGCCACAAUGGGACUGAGACACGGCCCAUACUCCUGCGGGAGGCAGCAGUAGGGAAUUUUGCGCAAUGGGCGAAAGCCUGACGCAGCAACACCGCGUGAACGAUUAAGCCCUUCGGGGUGUAAAGUUCUGUCAGUGGGGACGAAAUUUGACGGUACCCACAGAGGAAGCACCGGCUAACUCCGUGCCAGCAGCCGCGGUAAUACGGAGGGUGCAAGCGUUGUCCGGAAUCAUUGGGCGUAAAGAGUUCGUAGGUGGUAUGUUAAGUCUGGUGUUAAAGGCAGAAGCUCAACUUCUGUAAGGCACUGGAUACUGGCAAACUUGAAUGUGGUAGAGGUAAAGGGAAUUCCUGGUGUAGCGGUGAAAUGCGUAGAUAUCAGGAGGAACAUCGGUGGCGAAAGCGCUUUACUGGGCCAUUAUUGACACUGAGGAACGAAAGCCGGGGUAGCAAAUGGGAUUAGAUACCCCAGUAGUCCCGGCCGUAAACGAUGGAUGCUAGGUGUUGCGGGUAUCGACCCCUGCAGUGCCAUAGUUAACGCGAUAAGCAUCCCGCCUGGGGAGUACGCACGCAAGUGUG